This 549-nucleotide ribosomal RNA is filed under the name uncultured bacterium. RNAcentral describes it as "bacterial SSU rRNA". It matches the Rfam family "Bacterial small subunit ribosomal RNA", at positions 356 to 896 of the family's 1533-position model. The record is from RNAcentral.
AGGGAAUCUUCCGCAAUGGGCGAAAGCCUGACGGAGCAACGCCGCGUGAGUGAUGAAGGCCUUCGGGUCGUAAAACUCUGUUAUUAGGGAAGAACAAAUGUGUAAGUAACUAUGCACGUCUUGACGGUACCUAAUCAGAAAGCCACGGCUAACUACGUGCCAGCAGCCGCGGUAAUACGUAGGUGGCAAGCGUUAUCUGGAAUUAUUGGGCGUAAAGCGCGCGUAGGCGGUUUCUUAAGUCUGAUGUGAAAGCCCACGGCUCAACCGUGGAGGGUCAUUGGAAACUGGGAAACUUGAGUGCAGGAGAGGAAAGUGGAAUUCCAUGUGUAGCGGUGAAAUGCGCAGAGAUAUGGAGGAACACCAGUGGCGAAGGCGACUUUCUGGUCUGCAACUGACGCUGAUGUGCGAAAGCGUGGGGAUCAAACAGGAUUAGAUACCCUGGUAGUCCACGCCGUAAACGAUGAGUGCUAAGUGUUAGGGGGUUUCCGCCCCUUAGUGCUGCAGCUAACGCAUUAAGCACUCCGCCUGGGGAGUACGACCGCAAGGUUG